RNAcentral lists this ribosomal RNA (460 nucleotides) under uncultured bacterium. RNAcentral describes it as "partial 16S ribosomal RNA". It matches the Rfam family "Bacterial small subunit ribosomal RNA", at positions 338 to 795 of the family's 1533-position model. The record is from RNAcentral.
CCUACGGGAGGCUGCAGUGAGGAAUAUUGGUCAAUGGACGAGAGUCUGAACCAGCCAAGUAGCGUGAAGGAUGACUGCCCUAUGGGUUGUAAACUUCUUUUAUAUGGGAAUAAAAUGUUCCACGUGUGGGAUUUUGUAUGUACCAUAUGAAUAAGGAUCGGCUAACUCCGUGCCAGCAGCCGCGGUAAUACGGAGGAUCCGAGCGUUAUCCGGAUUUUUUGGGUUUAAAGGGAGCGUAGGUGGAUUGUUAAGUCAGUUGUGAAAGUUUGCGGCUCAACCGUAAAAUUGCAGUUGAAACUGGCAGUCUUGAGUACAGUAGAGGUGGGCGGAAUUCGUGGUGUAGCGGUGAAAUGCUUAGAUAUCACGAAGAACUCCGAUUGCGAAGGCAGCUCACUGGACUGCAACUGACACUGAGGCUCGAAAGUGUGGGUAUCAAACAGGAUUAGAUACCCCAGUAGUC